This 750-nucleotide long non-coding RNA is filed under the name Homo sapiens (human). Its description in RNAcentral is "non-protein coding lnc-COPG1-5:1". The record is from RNAcentral. Lineage: Eukaryota; Metazoa; Chordata; Mammalia; Primates; Hominidae.
CUUCCGGUAGCGCCGGCACGCGGCGUCAUCACACGCAGACGUGUGAUGGGGCUUUCGCAGAGGGACUGGCGGUUUUCGGACUCAGCCCAGGCGGCGGGUCUUAGUUCUGGAAACAGGAGUACUAAAUGUCUUGUGUUCACUAUUGGUACUGCGGGAGCAGGCGGCGCUGGGCGCGGUUAUGUGGAAGGCUGAGUGAUUGCCGCUACUCUAAUCCCACCGGCUUCCUUGGUUCCUCUGUGAGAGCAAAUAUCCCCUUUUGGAAAUUACUCGACCUCAUCUCUGCGACGAGGGAUCUACGGCCCCGACAGCUCCCCUAGUGGGAGCUGGAGUGUGCGUCCUGCAGGAGUUGGAGCUGGCCGGGCUUCGUAAACUCCUUCACUUUUCCUUGUCACCUCUUAGGGCCAUUUCUAGUUUUUCUGAGCUGGUCUGUUGGAAUCGCGGGGCCUUUCAGAGCUGGACGAUGCUUGAGGUCAUCCUCUUUUAAAAUAAAAAUUUAAGUUCCAGGCAAAAAGUGCCACUUAGGGGAGGAGGGUGGUUGGAGAAGUGCGGUCACUGUCCUGAGCACAUCGCUGGGACCAGAAGAUCGUUAGACAAAGACCAGGAAGACAGGAGAGGUCCCUGGUGUCCAUGGGAUCAGCCAACCUGAAUUCAGAAAUGGAAGUAUUGUGAAGAUGCCAGAGUUCCCCCCCUCCCAGCUCUGGAAAACUGAGCUCUGCAAAAUGAGAAAAAUAAAAACAUGUCUUGUUAAGG